UUUGCGGUGCGUGCCAGGCAGUUUUGGGGUUACCUUGUGGAUAUGAGCUGAUUAGGACAGUUUUUGUAAUUAGAUUGCUCAUCCAAAUAAGUUAAAGUGAAGCGUGACACUUUUUUGUUUUGUUUUAAUAACAAAUGGUAAUAAAAAAUAAUAGCUACGAUAUGCCUUGAACUUACUCAGUCCUUUAAUAUUAGUGUUAAAGUCCUCAUAUGCUCUCCCGUAUGAGUCUCUCUAAACAUCUUUGUGUGCAAUACAUCACUCUUUUAUCUGAGGCUGCCCUGAACGCAUCACUCCGAGACGGUGCAAGACUAUCAAUGUAAAUAUUAUAUCUCACAUUUGUUUCCCUUUCAUUGAAGUGUUCAUUUUGCAACAAACACUAUUUAAAUAUAGUUUACAGCUUAAACCGACCUGAAUCAUCCCAAAUUGUCAAGUAAAAGUAUCAAUCCAGUGUCUGUGAGGCUCAGCAGAAACACAGGACAAUCCUCAGUAGCAACUUUGGACAGAUGUAGUGAUCCGAUUCAUGAAUGAACGUGAACCUUUAAACUACGGGAGAUUCCAGGGAGAAAUGACAAUACAGGAGGUGGGCGGGAGAGAGGUCUGAAAUAUGGGAGAGUCCCGGGAAAAACUAGAGUGUUGGCAGGUAUGCAAAAGUAUGAUCUCCCAUCUGCCAAGUUUUCAUUGUCAAAGAUUCCCACCAUCCCUCUCUUAUUGAUGAAGACUCAACAUAAAGACAGGAUCGAGUGUCAUCUUCUAAGAUCAGACCCACUUGUAAUCCACCAUGAGUAAAACACUUUGCAUAGACAUAACAGAUGCAAAUGCUUCCACAGGGAUUCACUAUGUGGUUCAAUCAUAGACUGUAUAUACUACGGACAACUUGGCUCCGCCUUCCGUCAUUAUACGAAUUUGAAGUGGGAUUGCUCUAUGGUAUUUAUUAUCUCCACUUCCUGGAACUACCACUUGCGCAGUAGUGUUGUACGCAUUUGGCGGGAGAGUCGCUGUGAUGACGCUCGGCUCAAACAGCAUAUCACCCGGGUGAGCUAAGCAGUCUUCUUACACCCAUAGGUUGUAUCAAGUGUCAAUCAUAGAAAACAUGAACCCCCUAAUAACUUUUAUAAAAUUUGUCCACAGCCCCAUAAGGAUUGCUGGAGGAGGCGGGAUUUAUGACCUAUACUGCAGCCCGUCACUAGAGGGUGCUGUUCUCACGGUGGCUUCACCCAGUGAGGAGGUAGAAAGUGUCCAUUCUAUAUACAGUCUAUGGAUACAGUCAAUCAGUAGCGUAUCAUGCUCAGCUUGAUUGUCAAAGCUAUGCAGGACCUUUUUUUAUCGAUAACAGAGCUGAACCUCGCUGAACACCUUUUAGAGAGUUUGGACCAUCAUUUCAUUGACGCUCCACUCGACUCAUUGUUGGUUUUCCCUCUAAUUUGUUGUCCGUCUGCAGCAGAGUAUCCUGAACACUCAGAUUCUAAAGCCCGUGAAUUUCCAUGUGCUUUUGGUGUUGUGUUGUUGCUUUUCAGCCGUGAAGUAGGAGACCGCUCCCGUUUAAUCAAGAAUCUGUUGAUAACCUUGGUUGGCUGCGUUGGUUUUCACUGCGUAUCAUGUCGGAGCUCUAAAGAGUGUAUGCAUCUCUGGCAUGAGACAGUGAAGGCUGUGUCUUUGUGCUGUCCUUGGAGGACGUCUGGUGAUUUAAUUACAGAGACAUUCCAAUCUGCCACUUCAGUCAAUCAGGGAUAAAAACUGUAGUGUACUGUACUCAAGAUGUCGUGUCCUUCGGGUUUGUGUCUGACCAGGGAGGGAUGCUCAAUACUAUAAGUUUCUGGGCUCUUUGUGAAGCCCAACAAGUAGAGAUAGGACUGUUGAAAGACUCCCAAACAACAUGUCCUCUUACCUGUAAGUCUGUGUAAGUGAAAUACCAACGACUUUAAUAAUUGCAUUUAUGACCCGUACACCAGCACAAAAGGUAGCUUUUAUUCUUACUUAAGUUUGGGGACCCAAACUAGUCAAGGUCCAAGUAUGAGUCAUUCUGGUAAACAACAUUACAAACAGGAUGAAAACUAAAAACCUGGCAUAGACUAGUGCACUAUGCUGACUUUUGUUUUACUCAAGGGUCUCAAAGUAUUUGGUCUCUUCUGUGAAAGUUAGCAGAAUUUGACACUUAUUGCAUUAGCUAGUAUCACAUUUUGUACACCCAACACAUGUUAGUGUUAUUUAUGGCAGCUAUUGAAGAUUAAGUUUUGUCUUUAGACCAAAAUGCCUAAUGGCUUCUUUUUGUCACAUUUAAGUUUUUACUUUUAUAUUUUACUUAAAAAAAAAAAAACUCAAAACAUUUGAGUUUAGUUUCAGUCCAUAAACAGCAUUAGAUUUUAGUUAUUAUUUUAGUCAGAGUGAUUUCGUCUUUUGAUCUGUUUGGUAGAAUCCGGUGUUUUCUUUAAAUCUUUAAAGCAACAUUUAACUCUCGCUCCACUUUUGCUUGAUACCUUUGUUUGAUGAUUUAGCCCAACUUUUUCUGAAACAUGAUCCAAUGCUGCUGGUAGGGGUGUCCUGAUAUGAUAUUGCUAUCGUAUAUUGGUCCGAUAUCAGCAAAAAAUCUAAUACCGGAUUAUAUCGGCCUGCAUCUGAGACCUCCGAUAUCAGCACUCCUUCACAAGCAGUCCAUUCCAGACUCCGCACUGGCACCUCUAUCUAGCAGCGCCCUGAUCCAGCAAACUGAGCCCACAAAAUCACUACAACAGUGUGUACUAAGGUACUAACAAAGUAGCAAAGGAGUAAGAGUGAUGUCGGCCUUGUGGCAGUAUUUUUUGUCUCAGUCUGAAAAAGACGUUGCAGCUGAGUGAAAAACUUGUCAUGCACAAUUUUGUGCCAAUAUGGCAUUAAAUAUCAUUCAUUAUCGGACAAUAUUGAAGGCUACAAUAUCUGUAUUGUAUUGGAAGUCAAAAAGCUGUAUCGGGACACCCCUAGCUGCUGGCCUAUCCCUCCUACUCGGUGGAGGAAAGUGUAUUACACACAGAUAACAGUGGUUGGUCUAUACUCCACUAUUUCUCAAGAUUAUGGACAUUUACAGUCUUCAACUGUGUCUGUACAACGCUUUGCACUCUUAACUAAAUCUUAAUCCCUAAUGAUUUAAAGUUAAUCAAAUCUGUGAAACAUGUAACUAAAAAUACUGCCCACUAUAGCUUACAUUUACAGCCAUAAUUUGCAUCAACUAAAUGAACCCUAGUUGGCUUCACUUUCAGGGAGCUGGCACAUCAUCCACCGUUUCACUCAAUGUAUGAUCAGGAUGAGUUGUUCAGAUACAUGACCUGUAAGAAAUGAUCACUUCAGAAAAAUUAAAACGACAACACUGCUGUCUUCAAGGACCUGUCCCAUCCUCAACCCUGCCUCCAACCUACACCCCAACUCCCAGCAUCCUCCCCUCUGUCCUCAAAUCCAAUAUCCUCCUCUUCCUCAUUCCUGUCGUCUUUGUGAAAACUUUUUCUACUCCUCUCUCUUGAUAUUGAUCCUCUCUCUGCCUCUCCAUCCAUCCAUUCAUCUCUCCUCCUCACCUCCUCCUCUCUCCCCUUAUUGAUCUCCUUCUCCCUCUCCUUCUCUCUCUCUCUCUCUCUCUCUCUCUCCCCCUCUCUCUGCUAUCUGACUCUGCCUUUGUCUUCUUAUCGAGGUUUCAGGGUUUAUUCUGGCUGCUGUUAUUGACAGGCCUCUCGCUCCAUGGCCAACUAAUGCAUCCCUAAUCCCACCUUUGUUACUCAGGAAUGUUCUCUCUCUCCGUCAAACACACACGCUCACUCUCACAGACACACACACGAUAUGCCAACACAUAAGUGGGUGUAAGGUAAAAAGAGGCCACGAGGAUGUUGAUCCCAGCUUUCCAUUUGUUGCGAAAGCCAUCUAUCAAUCAAAAAAGGGCCUGCCUGUUGUCUGUGUGUUUUUUGUCAAUCUGUGUAUGUGUGUGCGUAAGUGUGUGUGUGUGUGUGUGGGUCUUGAGUGACAGGCCAAAUCGCGGCUGAGGACGUUUGAUAAGCUUGUAUUGUCGGUCGUCGGUCUCCCCCCUCUCCUCCUCCGCCUCCCUUCACACCUCCACCUCGAUAAGAAAUACAUUCGACUAGAGCUGAUAACGGUGUCAGGAGCAGCAAAGCCCCACUCCAAAGACACACGCACACACACACACAUAUACACACGCCACGCCAAGGGAGAGGUGUCUUUCUUCGCACACCUUGGCUGUAAAUGAUACUCUCAACAAACAGCGGCGAAAAAACACCACUCAGGAAGAAAAAGAUUCAGAUACCAGCUCAGAGUGUGUGUGUUUGUUGGGGGAAUGAUGUGCGAUAUGGCUAAGGGUAUGCUAUAGGCUUAUUGAAUAAGGUCUUAGUGAUAGCACCUGUGUGUGUGUUUGUGUGUGUGUGUUGUGAACAGCAGAGAAAGAAUACAGUAAUAGGCUUAUAGCAUCAGAGGCAGAGUGUCAGACUUAGAAAAACACACGGAGUUCAAAGACUGACUGACAGCUGUCCGUGUUUGUGUGUGUGGGUGUAGGUGUAGGUGUGUUGCAUGUGAUUCAGUAUGUAACACACUUUCAGUUUCAUAUGUAUUUUGUGUUUGUUUGCGCUGAUGUACACCAGGUUUUUUUUAAAUCAGGUCUGUGCACUUUAGUCUUCGAUGCUUCAAAACAUGAUAGUUAUGUUGACAUGGAGUUAAACUAGUUUGAGCCAAAUUCAAAAUCACCUCUGACUAGGGCUGGGCAAUAUGGCCUCAAAUCAAUAUCACAAUAUAUUGAGUAGUAGACGAUAAUUACUCGACA
RNAcentral lists this long non-coding RNA (4786 nucleotides) under Xyrichtys novacula (pearly razorfish). The record is from RNAcentral. Lineage: Eukaryota; Metazoa; Chordata; Actinopteri; Labriformes; Labridae.